Molecule: ribosomal RNA, 253 nt
Filed under: uncultured bacterium
Lineage: Bacteria
Description: partial 16S ribosomal RNA
Rfam family: Bacterial small subunit ribosomal RNA
Source: RNAcentral
UACGAAGGGGGCUAGCGUUGCUCGGAAUUACUGGGCGUAAAGGGCGCGUAGGCGGAUAUUUAAGUCGGGGGUGAAAGCCCAGGGCUCAACCCUGGAAUAGCCUUCGAUACUGGAUAUCUUGAGUUCGGGAGAGGUGAGUGGAAUGCCGAGUGUAGAGGUGAAAUUCGUAGAUAUUCGGCGGAACACCAGUGGCGAAGGCGACUCACUGGCCCGAUACUGACGCUGAGGCGCGAAAGCGUGGGGAGCAAACAGG